This 205-nucleotide ribosomal RNA is filed under the name Clostridioides difficile. RNAcentral's name for it is "partial 23S ribosomal RNA". It matches the Rfam family "Bacterial large subunit ribosomal RNA", at positions 1240 to 1445 of the family's 2925-position model. The record is from RNAcentral. Lineage: Bacteria; Bacillati; Bacillota; Clostridia; Peptostreptococcales; Peptostreptococcaceae.
CCCAUACGGGUUGAAGCAUGACCGUAAGGACAUGUGGACAGUAUGGGAGUGAGAAUGUUGGCAUGAGUAGCGAGAUGUGGGUGAGAAUCCCACAGGCCGUAACCCCAAGGUUUCCAGGGGAAGGUUCGUCCGCCCUGGGUUAGUCGGGACCUAAGCUGAGGCCGAAAGGCGUAGGUGAUGGACAACAGGUUGAUAUUCCUGUACU